RNAcentral lists this ribosomal RNA (483 nucleotides) under uncultured organism. RNAcentral's name for it is "SSU rRNA". It matches the Rfam family "Bacterial small subunit ribosomal RNA", at positions 8 to 509 of the family's 1533-position model. The record is from RNAcentral.
AGAGUUGAUCCUGGCUCAGGAUGAACGCUGGCGGCGUGCUUAACACAUGCAAGUCGAACGGAACAGAAGUUUUCGGAUUUCUGUUUAGUGGCGGACGGGUGAGUAACGCGUGGGUAACCUACCUCAAACAGGGGGAUAACGGUUGGAAACGACCGCUAAUACCGCAUAAGCCCACAGGACCGCAUGGUCCAGAGGGAAAAGAUUUAUCGGUUUGAGAUGGACCCGCGUCUGAUUAGUUAGUUGGUGGGGUAACGGCCUACCAAGACGACGAUCAGUAGCCGACCUGAGAGGGUGAUCGGCCACAUUGGGACUGAGACACGGCCCAAACUCCUACGGGAGGCAGCAGUGGGGAAUAUUGCGCAAUGGGGGAAACCCUGACGCAGCAACGCCGCGUGAGUGAAGAAGUAUUUCGGUAUGUAAAGCUCUAUCAGCGGGGACGAAGAUGACGGUACCCGCAGAAGAAGUCCCGGCUAACUACGUGCC